AUGGAGCAACGCCGCGUGUGUGAUGAAGGGUUUCGGCUCGUAAAACACUGUUGUAAGAGAAGAAUGACAUUGAGAGUAACUGUUCAAUGUGUGACGGUAUCUUACCAGAAAGGAACGGCUAAAUACGUGCCAGCAGCCGCGGUAAUACGUAUGUUCCAAGCGUUAUCCGGAUUUAUUGGGCGUAAAGCGAGCGCAGACGGUUAUUUAAGUCUGAAGUGAAAGCCCUCAGCUCAACUGAGGAAUUGCUUUGGAAACUGGAUGACUUGAGAGCAGUAGAGGAAAGUGGAACUCCAUGUGUAGCGGUGAAAUGCGUAGAUAUAUGGAAGAACACCAGUGGCGAAGGCGGCUUUCUGGACUGUAACUGACGUUGAGGCUCGAAAGUGUGGGUAGCAAACAGGAUUAGAUACCCUGGUAGUCCACACCGUAAACGAUGAGUGCUAGGUGUUUGAGGGUUUCCGCCCUUAAGUGCCGCAGCUAACGCAUUAAGCACUCCGCCUGGGGAGUACGACCGCAAGGUUGAAACUCAAAGGAAUUGACGGGGACCCGCACAAGCGGUGGAGCAUGUG
This 566-nucleotide ribosomal RNA is filed under the name Weissella cibaria. RNAcentral's name for it is "bacterial SSU rRNA". It matches the Rfam family "Bacterial small subunit ribosomal RNA", at positions 386 to 943 of the family's 1533-position model. Lineage: Bacteria; Bacillati; Bacillota; Bacilli; Lactobacillales; Lactobacillaceae. The record is from RNAcentral.